Molecule: transfer RNA, 75 nt
Filed under: Planctomycetia bacterium
Lineage: Bacteria; Pseudomonadati; Planctomycetota; Planctomycetia
Description: tRNA-Val
Rfam family: tRNA
About the family: Transfer RNA (tRNA) molecules are approximately 80 nucleotides in length. Their secondary structure includes four short double-helical elements and three loops (D, anti-codon, and T loops).
Source: RNAcentral
GGGCGGCUAGCUCAGUUUGGUUAGAGCACUAGCUCGACAAGCUAGGGGUCACAAGUUCAAGUCUUGUGUCGCCCA